RNAcentral lists this ribosomal RNA (936 nucleotides) under Triticum aestivum (bread wheat). Its description in RNAcentral is "partial small subunit ribosomal RNA". The record is from RNAcentral. Lineage: Eukaryota; Viridiplantae; Streptophyta; Magnoliopsida; Poales; Poaceae.
AUGGCCCCAGGAAGCAGCAUUGUGAGUGUGACUGAAGUUCCUGAGUCAGAUUGUGGCGACCGUGGGCUCUCCGAGGCACUCAGUAGUAUUAGGCUUGAUGGAGAUUCUACAAGUAAGCCCUCCUGGGCUGCGUCACUUGUCAAUGUUGGUUUGUCAUCAUUGACUGGCUUGAAUGAUUUGCUCGAGUGUCCAGUGUGUACAAACUCAAUGCGCCCGCCUAUACUUCAGUGCCCAAAUGGCCACACAAUUUGCUCCAGCUGUAAGCAUAGGGUAGACAACCAUUGCCCCACUUGCCGCCAGGAGCUGGGAAAUAUCAGAUGCUUGGCUCUCGAGAAGGUGGCCGAAUCGAUUCAGCUUCCAUGCAAAUACCAAAGCCUGGGCUGCACCGAGAUCCAUCCUUACCAGAACAAACUUAAGCACGAGGAGCUCUGCAGGUUCAGGCCAUACAGCUGUCCAUAUGCAGGUUCAGAGUGCCUCAUUGCAGGUGACGUUCCGAUGCUCGUGUCUCAUCUCAUCAAUGACCACAAGGUGGAUUUGCACGAAGGCUGCACCUUUAACCACCGCUAUGUGAAGUCCAACCCUUACGAAGUGGAAAACGCAACAUGGAUGCUCACUGUUUUCAAGUGUUUCGGGCAGCACUUCUGCCUCCACUUCGAGGCGUUCCUGCUGGGGAUGUCCCCGGUGUACAUGGCGUUCCUGCGGUUCAUGGGGGAGGAGAGCGAGGCUCGGAGCUUCUGCUACAGCCUGGAGGUGGGCGGGAACGGGCGGAAGCUGACGUGGCAGGGCACGCCGCGGAGCAUCCGGGACGGGCACAAGAAGGUGCGGGACAGCUUCGACGGGCUCAUCAUCCACCGCAACAUGGCCCUCUUCUUCUCCAGUGGCACCCGGCAGGAGCUCAAGCUGCGCGUGACUGGCCGCAUCUGGAAGGAGCAGUGA